UGCAGUUCGAGCGAAUCGAUGGGAGCUUGCUUCCUGAGAUUAGCGGCGGACGGGUGAGUAACACGUGGGCAACCUGCCUAUAAGACUGGGAUAACUUCGGGAAACCGGAGCUAAUACCGGAUACGUUCUUUUCUCGCAUGAGAGAAGAUGGAAAGACGGUUUACGCUGUCACUUAUAGAUGGGCCCGCGGCGCAUUAGCUAGUUGGUGAGGUAAUGGCUCACCAAGGCGACGAUGCGUAGCCGACCUGAGAGGGUGAUCGGCCACACUGGGACUGAGACACGGCCCAGACUCCUACGGGAGGCAGCAGUAGGGAAUCUUCCGCAAUGGACGAAAGUCUGACGGAGCAACGCCGCGUGAACGAAGAAGGCCUUCGGGUCGUAAAGUUCUGUUGUUAGGGAAGAACAAGUACCAGAGUAACUGCUGGUACCUUGACGGUACCUAACCAGAAAGCCACGGCUAACUACGUGCCAGCAGCCGCGGUAAUACGUAGGUGGCAAGCGUUGUCCGGAAUUAUUGGGCGUAAAGCGCGCGCAGGUGGUUCCUUAAGUCUGAUGUGAAAGCCCACGGCUCAACCGUGGAGGGUCAUUGGAAACUGGGGAACUUGAGUGCAGAAGAGGAAAGUGGAAUUCAAGUGUAGCGGUGAAAUGCGUAGAGAUUUGGAGGAACAC
Molecule: ribosomal RNA, 669 nt
Filed under: bacterium 12-L049393-122-001-D02
Lineage: Bacteria
Description: bacterial SSU rRNA
Rfam family: Bacterial small subunit ribosomal RNA
Source: RNAcentral